CCCUACGGGGCGCAGCAGUAGGGAAUCUUCCACAAUGGACGAAAGUCUGAUGGAGCAACGCCGCGUGAGUGAAGAAGGGUUUCGGCUCGUAAAGCUCUGUUGGUAGUGAAGAAAGAUAGAGGUAGUAACUGGCCUUUAUUUGACGGUAAUUACUUAGAAAGUCACGGUUAACUACGUGCCAGCAGCCGCGGUAAUACGUAGGUGGCAAGCGUUGUCCGGAUUUAUUGGGCGUAAAGCGAGCGCAGGCGGUUCAAUUAGGCU
RNAcentral lists this ribosomal RNA (261 nucleotides) under uncultured bacterium. RNAcentral describes it as "partial 16S ribosomal RNA". It matches the Rfam family "Bacterial small subunit ribosomal RNA", at positions 337 to 590 of the family's 1533-position model. The record is from RNAcentral.